Molecule: unclassified non-coding RNA, 253 nt
Filed under: uncultured Mortierellales
Lineage: Eukaryota; Fungi; Mortierellomycota; Mortierellomycetes; Mortierellales
Description: sequence contains ITS2
Source: RNAcentral
ACAACCUCAAUUCCUUUUCAUCGCGCAAAUUGUGUGAGGGAAAGGGGUUGGAUUUGAGCAUAUCCACCAAGUCUACAUAUUAUUGUGGGCUUCGAGGAUGCUUGAAAUAAGAGGUUCGGCCGGCAGUGCCUGGGCUACAAGCAUUUCAUACUUAAUCCCGUUAAACGGAUUAUAUCCUUUGCUGCAGCCAACAUACAGGGUAACUGUCCAGUGUCCGACUGAUGCAGGAAAGUUGAGACUCGCUCUCUUCUAA